Nannospalax galili (Upper Galilee mountains blind mole rat) is the source of this 158-nucleotide small nuclear RNA. Its record names the gene U1. It matches the Rfam family "U1 spliceosomal RNA". Rfam says of the family: U1 is a small nuclear RNA (snRNA) component of the spliceosome (involved in pre-mRNA splicing). Its 5' end forms complementary base pairs with the 5' splice junction, thus defining the 5' donor site of an intron. NCBI's taxonomy places the organism in Eukaryota, Metazoa, Chordata, Mammalia, Rodentia, Spalacidae. The record is from Ensembl.
AUAUUGCCUGGCAGGGGAGACACUAUGAUAACACAAGUGGUUUUCCCGGGCUGAGGCUCAUCCAUUGCACUCUGAUGUGUUGAUAGUGGUUAUUUCCACAAAUGUAGUUAAUUCUGCUACAUAAUUCCUGGUAGUGAAAGACUGUGUUCAUGCUAUCC